RNAcentral lists this non-coding RNA (19 nucleotides) under Arabidopsis thaliana (thale cress). The record is from RNAcentral. Lineage: Eukaryota; Viridiplantae; Streptophyta; Magnoliopsida; Brassicales; Brassicaceae. RNAcentral also lists the same sequence under 2 other names.
GGUGGAGCGAUUUGUCUGG